This 506-nucleotide ribosomal RNA is filed under the name uncultured bacterium. RNAcentral describes it as "partial 16S ribosomal RNA". It matches the Rfam family "Bacterial small subunit ribosomal RNA", at positions 30 to 523 of the family's 1533-position model. The record is from RNAcentral.
AUUGAACGCUGGCGGCAUGCCUAACACAUGCAAGUCGAACGGCAGCGCGUUUGGGGUAACCCAAAUGGCGGCGAGUGGCGGACGGGUGAGUACUAUGUAGGAAUCUGCCCAGAGAUAAGGGAUAACUUAGGGAAACGUAAGCUAAUACAAUAUAAGCCCGAGAGGGGAAAGCAGGGGACCGAUAGGCAUUGCGCCUUGGGAUGAGCCUACAUCGGAUUAGCUUGUUGGUGAGGUAAAGGCUCACCAAGGCGACGAUCCGUAGCUGGUCUGAGAGGAUGACCAGCCACACUGGGACUGAGACACGGCCCAGACUCCUACGGGAGGCAGCAGUGGGGAAUAUUGGACAAUGGGGGAAACCCUGAUCCAGCAAUGCCGCGUGUGUGAAGAAGGCCUUCGGGUUGUAAAGCACUUUCAGUUGGGAGGAAGGGGUGAGCACUAAUACUGUUCAUCAUUGACGUUACCGACAGAAGAAGCACCGGCUAACUCUGUGCCAGCCGCCGCCGUAA